UACGUAUGGUGCAAGCGUUAUCCGGAUUUACUGGGUGUAAAGGGUGAGUAGGCGGCAUGGUAAGCCAGAUGUGAAAGCCUUGGGCUUAACCCGAGGAUUGCAUUUGGAACUAUCAAGCUAGAGUACAGGAGAGGAAAGCGGAAUUCCUAGUGUAGCGGUGAAAUGCGUAGAUAUUAGGAAGAACACCAGUGGCGAAGGCGGCUUUCUGGACUGAAACUGACGCUGAGGCACGAAAGCGUGGGGAGCGAACAGG
RNAcentral lists this ribosomal RNA (253 nucleotides) under uncultured bacterium. Its description in RNAcentral is "partial 16S ribosomal RNA". It matches the Rfam family "Bacterial small subunit ribosomal RNA", at positions 524 to 776 of the family's 1533-position model. The record is from RNAcentral.